This 512-nucleotide ribosomal RNA is filed under the name Bryaxis sp. QH10. RNAcentral describes it as "partial large subunit ribosomal RNA". The stretch from base 380 to 512 matches the Rfam family "Archaeal large subunit ribosomal RNA", at positions 2542 to 2674 of the family's 2987-position model. Lineage: Eukaryota; Metazoa; Arthropoda; Insecta; Coleoptera; Staphylinidae. The record is from RNAcentral.
UUGCCUGGCUAAUUUAAGUCUAAUCUGCCCAUGAAAAUUUUAAUGGCUGCAGUAAUUUGACUGUACAAAGGUAGCAUAAUAAUUAGUUUUUUAAUUGAAAGCUAGAAUGAAUGAUUGGACGAGAGAGUAGCUGUUUCAAAUUAAUAUAACUAAAAUUUUAUAUUUAAGUUAAAAAGCUUAAAUAUAUUUAAAAGACGAGAAGACCCUGUAGAGUUUGAUAUAUUAUUAAAUUUAAAAUUUUUAAUAUAUUUAGUUUUUGAUUAUUAAAAUAUAUUUUAUUGGGGUAAUGUGAAAAUUUAAGAAACUUUUUUAUUAUAUUAACAAAAAUUUUUGUUUCAAUGAUCUUUAAUUAAGAAUUAUUAGAUUAAAUUACCUUAGGGAUAACAGCGUAAUUAUUUUGUAGAGUUCAUAUCGAUAAAAUAGAUUGCGACCUCGAUGUUGGAUUAAGAUAAAACUUUAGUGGAGAAAUUAAAGAUAUUAAGUCUGUUCGACUUUUUAAAUCUUAUAUGAUC